UACGGAGGGGGCAAGCGUUAUCCGGAUUUACUGGGUGUAAAGGGAGCGUAGACGGCGAUGCAAGCCAGAUGUGAAAGCCCGGGGCUCAACCCCGGGACUGCAUUUGGAACUGUGUGGCUGGAGUGUCGGAGAGGCAGGCGGAAUUCCUAGUGUAGCGGUGAAAUGCGUAGAUAUUAGGAGGAACGCCAGUGGCGAAGGCGGCCUACUGGACGAUGACUGACGUUAAGGCUCGAAAGCGUGGGGAGCAAACAGG
RNAcentral lists this ribosomal RNA (253 nucleotides) under uncultured bacterium. Its description in RNAcentral is "partial 16S ribosomal RNA". It matches the Rfam family "Bacterial small subunit ribosomal RNA", at positions 524 to 776 of the family's 1533-position model. The record is from RNAcentral.